This 468-nucleotide ribosomal RNA is filed under the name uncultured bacterium. Its description in RNAcentral is "partial 16S ribosomal RNA". It matches the Rfam family "Bacterial small subunit ribosomal RNA", at positions 28 to 507 of the family's 1533-position model. The record is from RNAcentral.
GACGAACGCUGGCGGCGUGCUUAACACAUGCAAGUCGAACGGAAAGGCCCUGCUUUUGUUGGGUGCUCGAGUGGCGAACGGGUGAGUAACACGUGAGUAACCUGCCCUUGACUUUGGGAUAACUUCAGGAAACUGGGGCUAAUACCGGAUAGUAGCUCCUGCUGCAUGGUGGGGGUUGGAAAGUUUCGGCGGUUGGGGAUGGACUCGCGGCUUAUCAGCUUGUUGGUGGGGUAGUGGCUUACCAAGGCUUUGACGGGUAGCCGGCCUGAGAGGGUGACCGGCCACAUUGGGACUGAGAUACGGCCCAGACUCCUACGGGAGGCAGCAGUGGGGAAUAUUGCACAAUGGGCGGAAGCCUGAUGCAGCAACGCCGCGUGCGGGAUGACGGCCUUCGGGUUGUAAACCGCUUUCGCCUGUGACGAAGCGUGAGUGACGGUAAUGGGUAAAGAAGCACCGGCUAACUACGUG